RNA transcript from Coffea arabica (coffee), 4164 nucleotides. It is a transcript of the gene named AT-hook motif nuclear-localized protein 15-like, with no coding region annotated. The record is from RefSeq and is a predicted model, not a curated record. Lineage: Eukaryota; Viridiplantae; Streptophyta; Magnoliopsida; Gentianales; Rubiaceae.
GGGUGAGGUGCGGUGGGGUGUGGAUAGAGUAUUUAAGAUACUACUAUUAGAGAGGAGGCCGGAAACGGGUAGUAUUGUACAACAGAGAGAGUGAUAUUUGUCAAGCUACUUAUACGAGUCCCAAUACGGUAUUCAGCCGCUUAACGCACCAGCAUCACUCUCUGCAAACAGGUACAACCACGGGGCAGAACGGGAGCAAGGCAGCAGAAGAAGCUAACCCCCUCAAGCAUCAUCAGAUCAGAUAGACCGACCCAGAUAGAUACCAAACCUUUACUAGUACUUCUAGUACUACCAGUACCACAUUAUUAGUCAUAACAGCUAAGGAAAGCUUAGGAAAGGGAAAGGUAACCUCAGUACCAAAAACCUAAGCCUAACGUACGUGCCAACUGAGGUGCUCCUAAUUCCUAAGACUCUUCCCUUCUUUCUUGCUUUCUUUCUCUCUUUCAGCUCUUCUUCAGAACAACUCAGAAUUCAGAAGCAAAAGUUGCUAGCGCUCAGUACCAUGUACACACCCAAACACCAUAUACUACUUAUUAGUUCAGUACUUAUACUGUUAAUCUAUUCUAGGUGCGUGGUUUCUUUCAACUUUUUAAACUGUAGCUUAAUGCUAAGUGUUUGACACUUUCACAGUCUAUUCUUGAGCUGCCGGUGGAGGCAACAAAUUCCUCUUUUGUUUAGAUCUCCGCUUGCGUUCUUGAGUUUUUGGCAGCUGGGCUUUGUGGGUAUUUUGUGAGAAGCUACGGCAGAUCUGGGUUUUCCUAUUGGAAUUGAGAGUUGAGGUUAAGAUAUUGUUGGAUAGGGUUUAUCCUAGAAAGCGAAGCAAAGAAAGAGAGGUAUUGAGUGAGGGUGAGAACUGAGAAUUGAGGAAGAAGGCAAAAUAGUAUUGGGUAGCUGGUUGUGGUUGGUUGGGGCCGGGUGAUUUUCCGUUUUUGGGUACAAGAAGUUUGGUCCAACAUACGCUUUUGGAGUUUCUCUGUUGGAUUUAGGGGUGUAUUUAUUAGAUCUCGUAUUUGCACAUCCAAAAAAAAAAAAAAAGCAAGGCAAAGAAGAAACCAUUUGCUAUUUGCUAUUUUUCAUUUCCACUAGUAGACCAAUGUAACGGAUGCGGCCAAUCCAAAAAGCAAUUUUGGCUGUUUGUUUGUUGAUACAUUGUGGAAGAGAACAAGAAGGUCAAGCAAGUGUUAGCAGCUAGCUUAGCUCAGUUCCGUUUCUUGAUAAAGAAAAAAGCGUUAUCUUGGGCUCCGACCACAUUCUUGAAUAGUUAGAAAAUCUUUCUCCCUGAAGAACGAAGCAUGGCGAACAGGUGGUGGGCUGGAAACGUGGCUAUGAAUCCGUUAGUAUCACCAUCGACUCCAUCUCCUUCUCUUCACCUAAGAAACAGUGCUACUGCAGAAGAUGAGAAUGCUGCUGGGCUAAACAGGCUUGGACAGCAAAGGAGAGACCAAGACUUCUUGGAUAACACUACAACAACCACCACCACCACCACCAAUACCACUGCCACUAACAGCAGCGGAAGCAACAAUAACCCUGAUGAAGAAGAUAGCCGGGAAAAUGAGCCCGAAGCUGAGGAAAAUCCCGGAGCACUUGAAAUCUCUGAGCCGGGUAGCGGCGGUGGAAGUUCUGGAAGGCGACCUAGAGGCAGACCACCCGGCUCGAAAAACAAGCCAAAGCCGCCCAUUGUGAUAACAAAAGAAAGUCCUAAUGCUCUCCGAAGCCAUGUGUUGGAAAUAAGCAGUGGGAAUGAUGUUGCUGAGUGCAUUGCUGCCUAUGCCCAACGGCGCCAUCGGGGCGUCUCGGUUUUGAGUGGAAGUGGUAUUGUGACGAAUGUGACUCUGCGGCAACCGGCUGCACCUGGUGGGGUGAUAACCCUUCACGGGAGAUUCGAGAUAUUGUCUUUAUCAGGUGCAUUCUUGCCUGCUCCUUCCCCUCCUGGAGCUACUGGUUUGACAGUGUACUUAGCGGGCGGUCAAGGGCAAGUUGUUGGUGGAACAGUUGUUGGUCCCUUGAUGGCAUCUGGGCCGGUAAUGGUUAUAGCUGCAACGUUUACAAAUGCAACUUAUGAGAGGUUACCUCUGGAGGAGGAACCAGCCGGUGAAGGGAUUCAAUUGCAGGCAGCAUCAGGAGUUAAUACUGGAACUAUCACUGGUGCUUCUUCAGCUUCUCAAUCUCAUGUGAAUGGCUUAUUCAGGGGUUAGACAGGUGGUGGAGAUGCUGGCAUAGAAAUGUUGUCCAUGAAAUAUGGUAACUCUAAAGUACAAAGCAAAGCUGCUUGGAGUUUGGAUCGGGAAACUUGUGUUUACAGCUUGUACGCAUGGAUGCUAUUCGGGGGCAUGGUAUUAAGAUUCCUCUGUUGGUAUUUAGUGGCAUAUAAAAACUAUCUAAUAGUUGGUUAUCCAUGUAAAUUUUCUUUUAGAAAGUGUAAAUUUUCAUCAAUGAUUCUCCUUAUUCCUCUAAAAUGACUGGGAACUUCUGAUUCUGAGUAUGUAUUACAUUUUGUCUAGAGUUAAUAAGAUGAGACUUGAAAGAAAAAGAGAAAGAAAAGGAAAAAGAGAAGAUUAAAGAGACAGCUUGUUUUCUCUUAGAAUGCAUGCUAGAUUCUCUUCAGCUUAUUGUUUACCUUAUCUGUUCCGCAGGAUUUACUUUGAGGGAAAACUCGAAUUGGCAUGAGCAUCCUAUCUUUGAAUUUCUCCUACUGUUUCAUCCAUAAUUUGUUUAGGUUGAACACUGAUUUUUCUGUGUCCGUGAAACUGUUGCUGCUGUGAACUUCUCAGAACGUCAUUAAAAUAUCUGAAUCAAUUAGCAGAACAUAAAAAUAUGAAGUGGGAUAUCAGCAGCAAGAUAGAUUUUUUAGUUAAUCUUGAUUGAGUUUCCUGUUUCAGAACUGCUGAGAACCGUGGUCUGCCACUCAAUUUUCCAGGCAAGCUUAGAUGUGUCUGUUGGAAUAUGCUUAUAUUCCUUUUUCCUAGUGUUAAAAGAAGAAAAUGUAUUCACACAUUUCAGGCUUAUAUACUUCAGGUGCUCUAUGACCUUUUCUUUUCUUCACGGGGUGUUGCAUGUUUUGUAGGGACAGUAAUUUGUAAGCUGCUAUAAAAUGAUUUUGCUUGUGCAUUGUAUCCAUAAGUUUUGUUAUUCAGUGUCACCAACUGCGUUGCAUCAUCAAGUCUAGGGUUUUCUUGAUCUAAUUCUUGUUGGUAAACAUUUCAUUUUCAUAAUCUCUAAUGGCCAUGAUUUCAAGAUGUUAGCUAGUGGUUAAAUGUCUGCAUGGACCCAUUAACAUGUUGUCAUAUGUGUGAUCUAACCAGUUUAGGAUCCAUGCUGGGUUGCAUGCUUGUAGAAUUCACACUUUCCCUUGUCGGAGGUUUAUGCUGCCGGACUGGAUCGGUUAACCCCUACUUUGACAAAUAUUUUAGAUCAUUUUUGUAGGUUGAACAACAUUGUAGGGCACAGCGUAUGAUUCCAUUCGGGGACCAGGCUCUUUGUCCGUGUGCGCUGGCUUAACAUGAAUUGCUAGCUCCGAAGACCGCACCAAAGAAAAGGAAAAUGGCGACAGUCAUCAUUUGCAGAUGCAAUUUCUCUGUGGCGUAAGCACCAAAGAUGUCGUAAUUAGUCGUGGAUAGUUUCUUGAAAGGGAGAGAUAGAAUGCCAAGACGCUAGAUGCGUGUUCUUGGUUUGGUACCUUUGUUUCUAGCCACGGUAGAUGAGAGGUGGUUGUGGAUUCUCUAUGUCCUCCGUCUUCUCUAUUCUGACCUAACAAUAGGUCAAAUGUUGAAUUAGGCUCAAUAUCCCUAUCUACCAUUUGAAAUCGGUGAUUGUAUUGGUGCAAAUUAGCUCAACUCCACGUCAGUUAUGAAGACUUUGUCAUCGGUGAUGGUCGGCUAUUGGCUAUUAUCUCCAGCAGCCAUUGCAGUGGCUCAAGAUAACGUUGCUGUCACCGUGGUUAUAGAACUAUGGUCAUGGGGAGCCAUUUGCGUGAUCGAAGAAGCCAUUUCAAUUAUUUGUCGCUGAAAAUCUCAACAGUUUUCCUUUCUUCCAAUUGCCAGGACAGAGCAGAGCGUAAGCAAGAUGAUUUGGUUAAAGGUCCUUAAACAUUUGUUUGGAUGGUAGAUUAUUUGUAAAAUUUUAUUUAUUUCAUCAUUAAUAUAUUUUGUGAUCACAUUUUUGUCU